UAUGGGUCUGUCUAUGGGUCUCAGUGGGUCUCUAUGGGUCUCAGUGGGUCUCUAUGGGUCUCUAUGGGUUUCAGUGGGUCUGUGUGGGUCUCUAUGGGUCUCUAUGGGUCUCAGUGGGUCUGUGUGGGUCUCAGUGGGUCUCAGUGGGUCUCAGUGGGUCUCUAUGGGUCUCAGUGGGUCUCAGUGGGUCUCUAUGGGUCUCAGUGGGUCUCUAUGGGUCUCAGUGGGUCUCUAUGGGUCUGCCUAUGGGUCUGUGUGGGUCUGUGUGUGGGUCGCAGCCGCUCUAAGGACGUGGUGGAGCCGCUGGUGCGGCCGCAGUGGGGCAGUGUGUCGCUAUGGGUCUCAGUGGGUCUGUGUGGGUCUCAGUGGGUCUGUGUGGGUCUGUGUGGUUCUCUAUGGGUCUGUGUGGGUCUGUGUGGGUCUGUGUGGGUCUCUAUGGGUCUCAGUGGGUCUCAGUGGGUCUCUAUGGGUCUGUCUAUGGGUCUCUGUGGGUCUGUGUGGGUCUCAGUGGGUCUCAGUGGGUCUGUGUGGGUCUCGGUGGGUCUCUAUGGGUCUGUGUGGGUCUCUAUGGGUCUCAGUGCUUCUCUAUGGGUCUGUGUGGGUCUCUAUGGGUCUCAGUGGGUCUCUAUGGGUCUCAGUGGGUCUCUAUGGGUCUCAGUGGGUCUGUGUGGGUCUCAGUGGGUCUCAGUGGGUCAGUGUGGGUCUGUCUAUGGGUCGCAGCCGCUCUAAGGACGUGGUGGAGCCGCUGGUGCGGCCGCAGUGGUUCGUGCGCUGCUCGGAGCUGGCGCGUGGGGCCAGCGCCGCCGUGCGCCGUGGGGAGCUGAGACUCAGA
Molecule: long non-coding RNA, 832 nt
Filed under: Numida meleagris (helmeted guineafowl)
Lineage: Eukaryota; Metazoa; Chordata; Aves; Galliformes; Numididae
Description: lncRNA (ENSNMEG00000000935.1)
Source: RNAcentral